RNAcentral lists this unclassified non-coding RNA (634 nucleotides) under Hevea brasiliensis (rubber tree). Lineage: Eukaryota; Viridiplantae; Streptophyta; Magnoliopsida; Malpighiales; Euphorbiaceae. The record is from RNAcentral.
CAUUGUAUAAGAACUGGUCUGCUGAAAUUAAAUCUUCUGACUUGGGAAAAUGUGAAUAUGAGAUUGUGGAAGUCCUCGAGGAAAAUGACUUGGGGAUCAAAGUUUCCUUUUUGGAACAAGUUGAUGGUUUUAUCUCAGUUUUCAAGGCUCAGUUAAAGGAAGGAUCAGCUGUUACAAUGGAGGUUCUUCAUGUUGAGCUGCUUAGAUUCUCCUAUCAGAUCCCUGCUUUUCAACUAACAGAAGAGAGGGAUGGCAGCCUAAGAGGCUUCUGGGAACUUGACCCUUCAGCCCUACCAGGUUAUUAUUUUGCUAUGAAGUGACAUGGCAGGUUUAUUCUAAUGCCCAUCUUUUUGCUGUUGAACUUUAUAGUAUCAACCAGAGUGGGCAUGUUUCGUGAAUGCUGAUUUAGAAACAGAUUUUGAUUCCCAGUUACUGCAACGGUGCGUAGAUGCUAAGCCUGUUCUCGGUUACAUCAUCGCAUCAUCUGUGCUCUGGAUUUGCCUUUGGAAGUUGGAUUUGUUCAUUUUGUUUCCGAUGGUAUACAGUUCUAUUUCAUUUGACAUUUUCUUGUAAAAUCUCGUCUUCUAAGAUACUUAUAUUAGCUCUUUUUUUUUUUUUUUUUUUUUUAUAGAGA